UACGGAGGAUGCGAGCGUUAUCCGGAUUUAUUGGGUUUAAAGGGUGCGCAGGCGGGGGAAUAAGUCAGUGGUGAAAAGCUGCCGCUCAACGGUAGUCUUGCCAAUGAUACUGUUUUUCUUGAGUAUGGUUAAGGUAGGCGGAAUGUGCAGUGUAGCGGUGAAAUGCAUAGAGAUAUGGAGGAACACCAGUGGCGAAGGCGGCUUCCUGGUCUGUAACUGACACUGAGGCGCGAAAGCGUGGGGAGGCAAACAGGAUUAGAUA
RNAcentral lists this ribosomal RNA (262 nucleotides) under uncultured prokaryote. Its description in RNAcentral is "partial 16S ribosomal RNA". It matches the Rfam family "Bacterial small subunit ribosomal RNA", at positions 524 to 784 of the family's 1533-position model. The record is from RNAcentral.